AACACCCUGCGAUGUUUGUGCAUAAGCCGUUAUUUUGACCCAACACCCUAAAUACGGGAUUCCCCGCUCCGCCUGUGGCCGGCAUGCCUCGCAAGUUUAGUGGAAGUCGAAAGCCGGCGGGAGGAAACCCACCUGCUUAUGUGCAGGUUUCAAAAUCGCGGCUUACACGGCAAAGCGGGGUUUUG
Molecule: non-coding RNA, 185 nt
Filed under: Bacillota bacterium
Lineage: Bacteria; Bacillati; Bacillota
Description: 6S RNA
Rfam family: 6S / SsrS RNA
About the family: E. coli 6S RNA was the first non coding RNA to be sequenced, but its function was unknown until recently.
Source: RNAcentral